UGUUUAGCAGUGUUAGCUGCUUCAGAGUUAGUCCAGAGCUAGCCAGAGGUGAGUGGAACUAACCCUUAUGUUUUAAAUCAAAUGUUUUCAGCAUAUUCAAGCAUGUUCAUGCAUCAUGAAUACCAUGUUAUGCAAUAGGUUGUUUGCAUUAGGAUUCACGAAUAUGAUGCAUUGCAUAAUAUGAUGAUAAUGAUGUGGAUGGAUACUGGAUGAUCCUCUAGCCCUCAGUAUGUUAUGACAUGAUAUAAAAUGAUAUGAUAUGGCAUGUACGAUAUGAUAUGAGAUGAGAAGUCCAGGUGUGGCCGUAUCGCCCCUGGCAUAGAGCAUGAGAAGUCCAGGUGUGGCCGUAUCGCCCUUGGCAUAGAGCAUAUGAAGUCCAGGCGUGGCCGCAUCGCCCCUGGCAUAGAGUAUUGUUGACUUGUUAUGGUACGAGAUUGAUAUGUAGAGGGCUAUUGGUGACAGAUUCAUCCUUGAGGUGAUAUAUUUGUGAUGUGAUGCAUUCCAUGAUAGCAUACGUUAAAAUGAACUGUUUUCUUUUAUGGUUUCUGCUCACUGGGCUUUUUAGCUCACCCCUCUCCCCUAACCCCAGGUUUGCAGGGUCAGAGGUAGUUCAGGAAGACGGCAAGAUAUGGUUAUGGUCAUGAUAUGUAAUAGAAUAGUAGUGGACAUGAUGUAAUGUAAGGUUAUGUAUUGAUGUAAAAAGAGUUGUAUUGCAUAAUGAUAUUAUGUUAUAUGUUCAGAGUUAUAGUAUUGUGCUUGGCCCGAGUUGGAUAAUCCCUUUGUACAUG
This 788-nucleotide long non-coding RNA is filed under the name Manihot esculenta (cassava). Its description in RNAcentral is "long non-coding RNA (MESC_LNC011024)". The record is from RNAcentral. Lineage: Eukaryota; Viridiplantae; Streptophyta; Magnoliopsida; Malpighiales; Euphorbiaceae.